Corvus hawaiiensis (hawaiian crow) is the source of this 3274-nucleotide long non-coding RNA. RefSeq lists it as uncharacterized. The transcript is spliced from 2 exons. The record is from RefSeq and is a predicted model, not a curated record. Lineage: Eukaryota; Metazoa; Chordata; Aves; Passeriformes; Corvidae.
GUGGAGACAAUGGGACGGAAGAAAAGUCCUCCAAGGAAUUCCCACAGGCAAAGCCUGUGUGUUUUCCUUAUGGGAGCCAGUGCUUUCAAACCCCCAAACCAUGGCAGCUACAUGUACAGGAUUAAUUAAGUACCUUCCUUUUUUCCACGUGAUUUCUCCAAGUUCAAGGGAAAUUGCAUACUGAAAAGCAAACCCAACAUCAACUCCUGAGACGACUGUUAGAUACCAUCUCUGUUUCUCCUCUAGCAACAUAACGAGCCUUUCCUCUUUCCCUCCACCUCAAAAACAAACAAACUGAAAACUUCACCCAGCAAAGCCCCGACCGGCGCAGGACGUCCUCGGCGUAUUCCCAGACUCCGGAACAGGGAUAAGCACAGCUCCGCACACGUUUAGAAAACGAAGAGGAAUAGAAAAUCUGUACUAACCCGACAGCUUCCUUUCUGUGACUAUUCAUCCUUCACAAUCCAACAGGACACACCAGCCAGUAAACAAACAUGGAAGGGAGGGACCAACUUCAAAGCAACUGUGUAAAUCUUACAUAAUUUGAGGGUUUGAGAUCUUGCAGCAACCUCUUACCCAAGGAGGUGUCAGAUGAUCCAAGGAGGUCAGACCUGUAGCAGCCACAGUAUAAAACUGAUUUCUGGGCAUCUGCAGAGAACAUCCCGCAACCGUGGAAGAAGUGAGGAUACAGCCCUGAAAACCACUUCCCUCUCAUAGAAAGGAUUCUCCAAGAGGUACUUUUCCUGCCAUCCUGGAUUUCCAAGUGUCUUCUAGCCAAAACCAUUGCUUUGAGCUAAAUAAAGCAACUGAGCACUGAAGCCCAGACAUUUCUUGAAGAGAAGGAAUUAAAAGGCUCCACGUCUCGCUUCUCCAGACAGGAGAGUGCAGUCACGGUUGGAAGAAGCAGGAAAGAAAGGAACAGGUCCCCCACCUUUGUUACGGGCCUCUUGCGAGGAGGGAUCACAGAGAAGUCCUGUUUCUUAAUGCCAAAGCUAUUUUUGUUCUUGUAUUAGGCACUUAAUGAAUAAUUAUGCAAAGACUUUAUUCACAUGGCAUCUCCACAGUGCACGUCUCCUUCUUCCUCCUUUUGGAAACUCAGCUUCCCUUCAAGACUUUAAAAAAUUUGGACCACGUCCCAGCACAUAUAAAUUUUUCCUCCUCUACAGAACACAUCGAAGCCCUCACCUCUCUCCCAAGCCUGUGAUUUUCCACUCGGAGCUGCGCUGCUGUCUCCUCUCCGAGUGGCAUUACGAGCUGACCACAAGGAUCUGGAGUGGGAUCCCUAAUCUCCUGCUAAGAAGCUUUUGCACUUAAACCCUUGAUGCCAUCAUUAGUGGUUUCGGCGCUCGCGACGUUACGGCCGGACUGUGCUCGAUGCCAGGACGAUAAGGGCAAAGCUAAGUGCAUCAGGUACACGGUUAACUCAAUGGGCAAAGAUUAGGGGAUGAUACUAUUUUUUAUUUUUUCCCCAAUAAGGCUUAUUUACUAUUAAUUCCCACCCGUGAUCUUAUUUAAUUACAACAUGUUCCACCUGAAGUUGUUUGUAAGAUUAAUGCCCAAGUCGCAGCGAUACGCCUCAAGGAGACCUGCUCUCCCAGCCCUUAGGUUUUACAGGGAAGGUUCUCCUCCUGCAUCCACGCCUCUGGCAGAAGCAGAAACAUCCUCUUUGGGAAAAAAAAAAAUACCAACAAAUCACUGUAUUUGCAAGUCCAAAGGGACGCGCUGUCUAGGCUUUAAUGGGAACACGUAUGGCUGAGCCCAGGCAGUGCCUGGAUUUUUCCUUUGAUCACUGUAAUGACUGGUAUUUUUUCAGGAAGCGUUCAAUACAGCCUUCCUCUUCUGCUAUUCAUCCCUCCACGUGAAUAUUCAUUAGAAAUUAUUAAACUGCCCUUUAUUCCAAAGGUCUGUACGACAGGGAUCCUCUCCCCCACCUCUGGUGCCUGCGGUGUCUGUCUCUCCAUCUGAGCUGACUCCACCAUUGCUGCAGAUAAGCGCUUCCAGACUACGAUCCCUCUAAUCUAUUUUAGCCAUGAUUCACAUCCGAGCUGUGUGUGUCUCCCAGAGGAAGGGGAAUCUGGACCACUUGUGCAGAGGGAGGCAGCCACCACAGCCCAUGGCACCACACGUUUCCCUGUUUUCCUUGGCUUUCUCGGGGCUGGUUUCCCCUUGCUCUCCCAGUGUACAGCACAAAGAGAACACGAGGCACAAUUCUUCCUGCCUCCAGGAUCCCUCAGACUAAGACCAGCCUCUGAGCAGUUACACGGGCAGCUUCAACUUCCCUGACCUCAGCUAAUUCUUUCCUUCCCUCAGCCUACUCAAGAUGAUUAAGCAAAAUACUUGGAAGGAAAUCAAAGUCUUAAAAACGCAAUUAGAAGUGACCAUUUUGUUAAUACGUGCACACACAACCCCAAAGUCAAACCCAAUCCAACAGCACCUGACCUUCGGGAAAACAGCAAUUUUUAGCAGCUCCCACGGACUUAAGGAACAGCCUAAAGUCUCCCACAAUGCUGGUAGGAACAGUGCCUUCCACAUAGCUCAGGUUUUUCCCACCAUUCCUAAAAAAGAAGGUUAGGAAGACAUCAAAUCACCAAUUCUCACACCAGACACCGACUCCCACAGACCUGCAGCUGUCCAGGGGUGUCUUAAAAAUAUCAUUUUUAACACGCAUCCUUCCACACACCCAGAUCUUCCUCCCCCAGCUGAGAAAAAGGCAAGUUCACAGGAGGGACUGGAUUCAGCUGCCACAAAUCCUCAUAUUCUGAAGAAAAGAUUCUGAUCUCAUUGCAAGAAACCUUUAAAGCAUUGAAAUAAUAAUGAUCUCUUUAACAACAAUAAAGUCGUUUGAAAUUACCAAUAAAGUUGUUUGAAAAUAGUUAUCAUAGUAAUGAAACAGAAAUGUUUUUCUAGGGCAAUUUCCACUUCACCCAUCCACCACAUAUUUUUAAGACUCCCUUCCCGAAAUUAAUUUGAAAAAAGAUUUUAUUUUUCUCUGCCUGCAAAGAAUCAAAUGCACUUUGAGAAAGCAGCAGUUGAGCUUCUGUGCCUCGACACAGAAACAAAGCCUGACAGCCCAGAUUUAGAUAACACCUACUUCUGCACAUUUAGGAAGAGGCUUAAUUGCUUUGUCAUUUAGAGCCAGCAAUUACCAACUAUUACUGGGAGUGCGGCGGGGGUGGGGGUAUUAAUUGCAGCCAAAUGUCCACUCUUUUUUGGGCAGCUCACACCAAGAAAAUUAUGUACUAAAUAAAAAAGAAAUUAAAACUCCUCUUUGUUA